Non-coding RNA from Phodopus roborovskii (desert hamster), 447 nucleotides. NCBI's taxonomy places the organism in Eukaryota, Metazoa, Chordata, Mammalia, Rodentia, Cricetidae. The record is from the annotation of a RefSeq genome assembly.
AGAACAAUGGAUUUUUGGGUGCAGCUCUUAAGCUUCCUGCUAAUCGGUGUCACAGUGUCCAAAGGAGAAAUUGUGCUCACCCAGUCUCCAGUAUACAUGACUGCAUCUAAUGGGGAGAAGGUCACAAUCACCUGCAGAGCCAGCUCAAGUAUAAGUUCCAAUUACUUGCAUUGGUACCAACAGAAACCAGGAGCUUCCCCUAGACUCCUUAUUUAUAGCGCAUCCUACCUGGCUGCUGGAGUCCGCGGUAGCUUCAUAGGCAAUGGGUCUGAGACCUCUUACUCUCUUACAAUUAGCUGCGUGCAGGAUGAAGAUGCUGCUACUUACUACUGUCAGCAGGGGAGUAGUAGCCCACCCCCACAGUGCUACAGACUGGAACAAAAACCUUUCACUUCCCCUAGGGUACAGAAGUUUUCUCAAAGAGAUGAAAUGUGGCCAAAGGUGUGA